Long non-coding RNA from Seriola dumerili (greater amberjack), 349 nucleotides. RefSeq lists it as uncharacterized. The transcript has 4 exons. Lineage: Eukaryota; Metazoa; Chordata; Actinopteri; Carangiformes; Carangidae. The record is from RefSeq and is a predicted model, not a curated record.
GAUCAGAGAUACCAAGGAGGAACGUUUCAGAGAGGAAAUACCAGACGAGAUGGUUCUUAACGGAAGAAAAAAAACAGUGUAAUGCCUGAUCCUGGCAGUGCUGCUGUCAUGCCCACUGAGCGACUCCUCACCUUCACUCUGGACUUUUCUCAGGGUGACAGAGGGGGUCGAGAUGGCGGAGGCACGGAAGUUGGCAGCUCCUUCCUGUCAUAGUUCAAGCGCUUCAAGCACAUGAUGCCAUAGUGAAGACUCACCCUACCUGUGGAAACUGUCCACCAUUUUCAGCUGACCCCUCAGCUCUUUCUUAGUGAGGUGAUCAAGCAUGCGGGCGUCCACCAGUGACUCCAUG